GACGAACGCUGACGGUGUGCUUUAGACAUGCAAGUCGAACGAGAAAGCCCUUCGGGUUAGUAAAGUGGCGAACGGGUGAGUAACACGUGGGCAAUCUGCCCCUCGCAGGGGGACGAACCGGAGGAAACCCCGGCUAAUACCCCGUAAGUUCAAAGGGAGGCAUCUCCCCUUGAAGAAAGGUAGCUUCGGCCAUCCGGCGAGGGAUGAGCCCGCGGUGCAUUAGCUAGUUGGUGGGGUAACGGCCCACCAAGGCGACGAUGCAUAGCUGGUCUGAGAGGAUGAUCAGCCACACUGGGACUGAGACACGGCCCAGACUCCUACGGGAGGCAGCAGUCGGGAAUCUUGCGCAAUGGGCGAAAGCCUGACGCAGCAACACCGUGUGUGUGAGGAAGGCCC
RNAcentral lists this ribosomal RNA (396 nucleotides) under uncultured bacterium. RNAcentral's name for it is "bacterial SSU rRNA". It matches the Rfam family "Bacterial small subunit ribosomal RNA", at positions 28 to 417 of the family's 1533-position model. The record is from RNAcentral.